UACGAAGGGGGCUAGCGUUGUUCGGAAUUACUGGGCGUAAAGCGCACGUAGGCGGAUAUUUAAGUCAGGGGUGAAAUCCCAGAGCUCAACUCUGGAACUGCCUUUGAUACUGGGUAUCUUGAGUAUGGAAGAGGUAAGUGGAAUUCCGGGUGUAGAGGUGAAAUUCGUAGAUAUUCGGAGGAACACCAGUGGCGAAGGCGGCUUACUGGUCCAUUACUGACGCUGAGGUGCGAAAGCGUGGGGAGCAAACAGG
Molecule: ribosomal RNA, 253 nt
Filed under: uncultured bacterium
Lineage: Bacteria
Description: partial 16S ribosomal RNA
Rfam family: Bacterial small subunit ribosomal RNA
Source: RNAcentral